AGGGGGAUAACUACUGGAAACGGUAGCUAAUACCGCAUGACCUCGCAAGAGCAAAGUGGGGGACCUUCGGGCCUCACGCCAUCGGAUGUGCCCAGAUGGGAUUAGCUAGUAGGUGAGGUAAUGGCUCACCUAGGCGACGAUCCCUAGCUGGUCUGAGAGGAUGACCAGCCACACUGGAACUGAGACACGGUCCAGACUCCUACGGGAGGCAGCAGUGGGGAAUAUUGCACAAUGGGCGCAAGCCUGAUGCAGCCAUGCCGCGUGUGUGAAGAAGGCCUUAGGGUUGUAAAGCACUUUCAGCGAGGAGGAAGGGUUCAGUGUUAAUAGCACUGAGAUUGACGUUACUCGCAGAAGAAGCACCGGCUAACUCCGUGCCAGCAGCCGCGGUAAUACGGAGGGUGCAAGCGUUAAUCGGAAUUACUGGGCGUAAAGCGCACGCAGGCGGUUUGUUAAGUCAGAUGUGAAAUCCCCGAGCUUAACUUGGGAACUGCAUUUGAAACUGGCAAGCUAGAGUCUUGUAGAGGGGGGUAGAAUUCCAGGUGUAGCGGUGAAAUGCGUA
Molecule: ribosomal RNA, 559 nt
Filed under: Yersinia sp. N5-5
Lineage: Bacteria; Pseudomonadati; Pseudomonadota; Gammaproteobacteria; Enterobacterales; Yersiniaceae
Description: bacterial SSU rRNA
Rfam family: Bacterial small subunit ribosomal RNA
Source: RNAcentral